CGUGGAUAAGUUUUCUUUAUAGUGGUAGUCUUCUCGGAAACAUCCAAACCCACACCACUGCAAAAUUGUUGGGUGGCCGUCUUCGGCAUAUGCCUGAUCUCUGUCAUCGGGUAGACUCAUAGAUUAGUUAGGUCUCCCUACGAAAUCAUUGCUUGUCGUUAAGCUACUUCUGAGACUCUUGCUCAUGAAAAGUCUUGUCU
Molecule: long non-coding RNA, 200 nt
Filed under: Elaeis guineensis (African oil palm)
Lineage: Eukaryota; Viridiplantae; Streptophyta; Magnoliopsida; Arecales; Arecaceae
Description: long non-coding RNA (EGUI_LNC080702)
Source: RNAcentral